ACGGUGAUCGUCUAGUGAUUUAGGAUUCACCCUUCCCAUUGGUUUAACGACUCCAGUAAACCGGUUAGGGUGUGACACGGGUUCGAACCCCGUUCGCCGUA
Non-coding RNA from Cutaneotrichosporon oleaginosum, 101 nucleotides. Lineage: Eukaryota; Fungi; Basidiomycota; Tremellomycetes; Trichosporonales; Trichosporonaceae. The record is from the annotation of a RefSeq genome assembly.